AUAGCACCAGUAGCAGACAGACCAUCCUCAAGAGUGUGAACCUAAUGUGUCCACCUACUCUCCUGUGUGGGAGCAACUGGGAACCAUAUGUUGAUGACUUUUUUUCACCACAGAAUAUCCUAGAAGGUCUAUCCUAGAAGGGAUUAACAGUAUUUCAGGUCUGCCAUCCUAAGAUCCUGAACAUGGGAGAGUGCAUUUCAGUCCGUGUUUUGCUGAUGUUUCUGGCCCUAAUCAGCUAUCUAAUUGCACUGACAUUCAACAUAUUGGCUCUAUUUGGGCCCUGGACAGGUGCGUUUAUGCAAACCACACAGUAUGUGCUGAGCAAGUCCACAACGCACCUAACCCCGGAUAGAUGGGUACUCUUUCUAUGGGACGUCCUUAACAUCUGGUUGAUCGGCAUGUUCAUCUAUCUGAUACACAAUCUCCGUAGAAGGGAAGCCUAUACAUGGAUGUACACCACUCCUGCUGUCCUGCCCUACGGAUUCUACUUGUCCUGGAUCGUGAAUAGCAUUUUGAAUAUGGCGUGGUUAUUUCUGUACGACAAAGAAUUCUGUGUUUGUCAUAGAAAGAUGGUGCCAACGCUGCUGAUCACAGCAUUACAGGCCAUCUCCAACUGCGUGAUUAUCAUGUUCUCCUGCUACGGACUGGUCGUCUAUGGAGCAUGGCUCCAUAAAUAUCACAACAAUGAUCUCUGGCUCAUUCGAAUACUGGUGCAAAACGGAGUGGCUUUGUAUGCAACAUGGUGGGCUGUGGCUACCUUUUUACACUUGACCGUUGUUUUAGACCAUCAAACCCCAAUACCCAAGACAGAUGCUGCCAUAAUGGUACUAGUGCUGCUCCAAUUGGGACUCAUAGGAUGGUUUGUCAUAGAGAACUGGUAUCUGGAUAAGCACGUGCGCUACAUCCUCACAGUGUACCCUGUGGUGAUCCUGGUGUUGGCCGCGAGUGUGGCCAAUCCAGCCACGCCCGGUACCCACAUAGACAUCAUGUCUGCUGUCAUAUUGGCCAUAACUAGUGUCAUAUUCAUUGUGCGCAUUGUCAUGGUGUUAUGGAAGCACAACAACAAACCGUUUUACGGAGAAGAGGAGCUCAUGUCUCCAGUGGACAUCGCCAGAACACAGAAGCUCAUCUUUAUGUAGGAAGAAGAGAGCCACUGCGGAGAUUCACGUUUGAAUGUUGUUUUCCUAAACGUUUAAUGGCUGAGACGUGAUCAAACUCUCCCUGUGUUGGAUUCAUAAGGCUUUGCUUCAGCAAGACAUGUAGGUGAGGAUUUAGGCUAGUAGUGCCUUUGUACCGUACAGAUUUAGUUCAUAACCAUUGGCCAUGCUAAUGUCUUUUUCGAAAUCAUAUCAAUGACUGUGUGUGAUAAAACUAUGGACCGGCAUUCUCUUAUGACCGCAAUACUAAUUUAAUGACAUUAAUGUGAUUGUGUUCUUUUUUAAAUGUAUUUAGUUAACCUUUAACUGCCACCAUAUUGUUUUUAUACCAGGAUCUGAUCUACCUUUGUGUUUUGACGUUUUGUUUUAGGUGCUAUACUGUACAACAAUUUGGACUGCAUUUAUGUAUGAAUGAAGCUAUAGAAAUAAAGUGUAUUAUUAUACUUACCAAUGCACUUAUCUGUAAAUGCUAUUGUGAUUUAACAAUAGUAAAUACAACCGUGUGCCACUGUGCAGUAGUAAGAGCACCCAUUGGUUAGACACCAUGGGGAAAAAUAACCACACACACACACACACACACACACAGUAAACCAUGAUACACUGAC
This is a long non-coding RNA of Oncorhynchus tshawytscha (Chinook salmon), 1762 nucleotides long. The record is from Ensembl. NCBI's taxonomy places the organism in Eukaryota, Metazoa, Chordata, Actinopteri, Salmoniformes, Salmonidae.